GUACUCGCUUGGGCAACACAUAUACUAAAAUUGGCACAAUACAGAGAAGAUUAGCGCGGCCCCUGCAUGAGGAUGACAAGCUAUUAAGUAAAGUGCAUACUUUACAA
RNAcentral lists this small nuclear RNA (107 nucleotides) under Neogale vison (American mink). The record is from RNAcentral. Lineage: Eukaryota; Metazoa; Chordata; Mammalia; Carnivora; Mustelidae.